GGCUCAGGAUGAACGCUAGCUACAGGCUUAACACAUGCAAGUCGAGGGCAGCGGGAUUGAAGCUUGCUUCAAUUGCCGGCGACCGGCGCACGGGUGAGUAACGCGUAUCCAACCUUCCGUACACUCAAGGGAUAGCCUUUUCGAAAGAAAGAUUAAUACCUGAUGGUAUGAUGAGAUUGCAUGAUAGCAUCAUUAAAGAUUUAUCGGUGUACGAUGGGGAUGCGUUCCAUUAGGUAGUAGGCGGGGUAACGGCCCACCUAGCCUACGAUGGAUAGGGGUUCUGAGAGGAAGGUCCCCCACAUUGGAACUGAGACACGGUCCAAACUCCUACGGGAGGCAGCAGUGAGGAAUAUUGGUCAAUGGACGAGAGUCUGAACCAGCCAAGUAGCGUGAAGGAUGAAGGUCCUACGGAUUGUAAACUUCCUUUAUAAGGGAAUAAAACCUCCCACGUGUGGGAGCUUGUAUGUACCUUAUGAAUAAGCAUCGGCUAACUCCGUG
This 498-nucleotide ribosomal RNA is filed under the name uncultured bacterium. RNAcentral describes it as "bacterial SSU rRNA". It matches the Rfam family "Bacterial small subunit ribosomal RNA", at positions 21 to 507 of the family's 1533-position model. The record is from RNAcentral.